AAAGGGUGCGUAGGCGGCCUGUUAAGUCAGGGGUGAAAGACGGUAGCUCAACUAUCGCAGUGCCCUUGAUACUGAUGGGCUUGAAUGAACUAGAGGUAGGCGGAAUGAGACAAGUAGCGGUGAAAUGCAUAGAUAUGUCUCAGAACACCGAUUGCGAAGGCAGCUUACUAUGGUUCUAUUGACGCUGAGGCACGAAAGCGUGGGGAUCAAACAGGAUUAGAUACCCUAGU
RNAcentral lists this ribosomal RNA (230 nucleotides) under uncultured bacterium. RNAcentral's name for it is "partial 16S ribosomal RNA". It matches the Rfam family "Bacterial small subunit ribosomal RNA", at positions 562 to 791 of the family's 1533-position model. The record is from RNAcentral.